UUCUUACCGAGCCUUUAAAGGAAGGAGUAGAA
Molecule: non-coding RNA, 32 nt
Filed under: Rattus norvegicus (Norway rat)
Lineage: Eukaryota; Metazoa; Chordata; Mammalia; Rodentia; Muridae
Source: RNAcentral